RNAcentral lists this ribosomal RNA (330 nucleotides) under uncultured bacterium. RNAcentral describes it as "bacterial SSU rRNA". It matches the Rfam family "Bacterial small subunit ribosomal RNA", at positions 568 to 898 of the family's 1533-position model. The record is from RNAcentral.
UUCGUAGGCGGUGCGGCAAGUCGGGAGUGAAAUCUCUGGGCUUAACCCAGAGGCUGCUUCCGAAACUGCUGUGCUUGAGUGUGGGAGAGGCGCGUGGAAUUGCAGGUGUAGCGGUGAAAUGCGUAGAUAUCUGCAGGAACACCCGUGGCGAAAGCGGCGCGCUGGACCACAACUGACGCUGAGGAACGAAAGCUAGGGGAGCAAACAGGAUUAGAUACCCUGGUAGUCCUAGCCCUAAACGAUCAGGACUUGGGGUGGCGCCCGUUCGGGCGUCGUCCCGGAGCUAACGCGUUAAGUCCUGCACCUGGGGAGUACGGUCGCAAGACUGAA